CACACUUGGGACCAAUUAAGAUCCUUCCAGAAGGCAGUGGAGAUAGCUACAUUGAUUGGGACACCUGAAGCCAAUCAAGGGCUGGCUGGAACUAGUUAAAAGCCUCCCAGUUAGUCAGUGACAUGCAGGUGUCAGGAGCAGUGCUGCUGGAGGAAUGAAGCAGUACAAAUCCAUAUCAAGUGUAAGGAAAGAGGCCCUGAGAGCUAGAAAAAGGAGCAACACACAACUGAGGCGUUUUUCCCCUUUCGAACGGGACCCAGAACUCACUUCUAGUUCUACAAGGUAGCAAUGCAGGCUAUUGGGAGGGGGAAAGAGGAGAAUUACUCUACCAAUAUCCAACAUCAGCCGAGUCAUCUCACAGAAUUACACAUACAAGGUUUCUCCAAUGAAUGCAAUGUGAAAAUACCAACCCACUAAAAGUUGCAUGCUACUAGUGAAUCUGGUUUUGUUAAACUUUAGAUGGAAAAUAUUGGCGACAAAAUUUCAUCAGAUUGCAGGCUCCUCAGGACAGUCUCAUUUAUUUAAGCACACAAAUAGCUAAAUUCUAGGCUCAGCUCUGCCAUUCAGCCACUCCGCGUAAUCUUGGCAUAGUCAAAUGACCUUUCCCAUUCUCUCUGUUUCCUCAUCUGUAAUUGAAGGAUAAUACUGACGGACCUAUUUCAAUCCCAUUUUGAGAUUCAGUUCUUAUGUAUUACUUUGAAAAUGUAAAGUACUGGAAAAAAUAUACAUAUUUGAUUGACUGAACAUUCCAUCCCAAAUACAUGCUUUACUGACCCGAACCUCUACAUACCACCACUAAUGACACUGUGGAUUUGAAAACUAGAAACUAUAACAUUAUAAUAAAUCUUUAUUCCCAUUUUCCAUGGCCUUAUCAUGAGUGCAUAUGUUUUGGUUUUCAGUCAAUCAUCACAGAUAAGUGUUAUAUA
This is a long non-coding RNA of Mauremys mutica (yellowpond turtle), 926 nucleotides long. RefSeq lists it as uncharacterized. NCBI's taxonomy places the organism in Eukaryota, Metazoa, Chordata, Testudines, Geoemydidae. The record is from RefSeq and is a predicted model, not a curated record. The transcript has 3 exons.